RNAcentral lists this transfer RNA (62 nucleotides) under Enterobacter sp. RNAcentral's name for it is "tRNA-OTHER". It matches the Rfam family "tRNA". From Rfam's summary of the family: Transfer RNA (tRNA) molecules are approximately 80 nucleotides in length. Their secondary structure includes four short double-helical elements and three loops (D, anti-codon, and T loops). Lineage: Bacteria; Pseudomonadati; Pseudomonadota; Gammaproteobacteria; Enterobacterales; Enterobacteriaceae. The record is from RNAcentral.
GGGCGAUUAGCUCAGUUGGUAGAGGGAGGGGGUCGGCGGUUCGAGCCCGUCAUCGCCCACCA